This 255-nucleotide unclassified non-coding RNA is filed under the name uncultured Patescibacteria group bacterium. RNAcentral describes it as "contains 16S-23S intergenic spacer region". It matches the Rfam family "Bacterial small subunit ribosomal RNA", at positions 524 to 776 of the family's 1533-position model. The record is from RNAcentral.
UACGUAGGACCCAAGCGUUAUCCGGAGUGACUGGGCGUAAAGAGUUGCGUAGGCGGCUCGUUAAGUGAGUAGUGAAACCUGGUGGCUCAACCAUUCAGACUAUUACUCAAACUGGCGUGCUCGAGAAUGGUAGAGGUAGCUGGAAUUUCGUGUGUAGGAGUGAAAUCCGUAGAUAUACGAAGGAACACCAAUGGCGUAGGCAGGCUACUGGACCAUUUCUGACGCUGAGGCACGAAAGCGUGGGGAGCGAACCGG